Molecule: long non-coding RNA, 1047 nt
Organism: Alnus glutinosa
Lineage: Eukaryota; Viridiplantae; Streptophyta; Magnoliopsida; Fagales; Betulaceae
Exons: 3
Source: RefSeq, a predicted model, not a curated record
GUGGUAUGUGACAAGACAGAAAUGGUACUUCCGUCUAUUUUUCCAUCCAAAACUAACGUUUGACAAUGUCAGUGAACACGUGUUAAAUGGACGGUGUGACACCUGUCACCACACCGCCUCAGAUAAAUCCUACGUGUUUAUGUAAUGCCACCUAUUAUUAAUGCAAAUCCAGAUAAUCACAUAAUAUUUUAAGAAUUGAAAUUAAACAACUAAAAACGUUGUCUUCUUCCGAAAAUCAUAGAACCCUAACCCUAAUCGACAGCUCCGGUUCAACAAAUCUCCCCAAACCAAUCUUAGCAACUGAAUCAGAUAAGGCCGACAAUAGAUUUCAGUGGCGUCCCACAGCUCCGGCACGACAGUUUCUCCCAGUAUAUAUCUCACAAUCGGACAAAUGUCAUCAUCAAGUCUCGUACAAGAUUCAGCAGGGAGAAGAUUUUGAGGUUCUUCAGAGAAGAAGUUAUCAUCUGGAUCUUCCUCUGUGGGGCGUGCUGAGAAGUCCUAUCUAUGUUUUUGCGGUUUACCAGCACCUAUAAAGACCUCCUGGACUGAGGACAAUCCUGGGAGAAGAUUUUGGGGUUGCGCCUCAUACAGCUCGAGAACAAAAUCUGAUGCCUGCAAAUUUUUCAAAUGGGUGGACAAACCAACCUGUGCAACAUCUGUGGAGGUCUUAAAACAAAUUAUGAAGCAAGCUAAUGAACUUGAGGAUGAAAAUGGUACCUUGAUGGCAAGGAUGAAAGACUUAGAGAAUGAAAAGGAAAGUUGCAUGGAAAGGGUUAAGCAAUUGGAGAAGAAGAAUGAGAAACACAUGGAAAUCAUUAAGUGUCUGGAGAAGGAAAAUGACAUCUAUAGGGCUGGGAAAAAUUUUUUAUGUAUGUUUUGUUGUUGUUAUGGUUCACAAUGUUGUUGGUUGCUUGUGUUGCACUUGUUAAGUGAGUUUAUAGUUUGACACAUGUAUGUCAAAAUUGUAAGCUUGCAGUAAUGUAUGUGAAUAAUUAAUUUAACAUUUUGCCCACUGUGGUUGUGAUGUAGUGAACAAAAAAUUUCCAA